This 1304-nucleotide ribosomal RNA is filed under the name Pyrgacris descampsi. RNAcentral's name for it is "16S ribosomal RNA". The stretch from base 847 to 1236 matches the Rfam family "Bacterial large subunit ribosomal RNA", at positions 2049 to 2651 of the family's 2925-position model. Lineage: Eukaryota; Metazoa; Arthropoda; Insecta; Orthoptera; Pyrgacrididae. The record is from RNAcentral.
GUUUUUAAUAUUAUGAUUUAAGGGUUGUUUAAUUAUGUUUUAAUAAAAGUAAUUUUAUUUGACUAUGUCUUAGUAUGGUUUACAGAAUUGAUUAUUUUAGUUAUAGUUUACUAGUAAUGUGAAUGGAUUAUAUUUUUUAUAAAUUUAUAAAAGUAUGUUUGAUUAAUAGUACCUUUUGUAUCAGGGUUUAUUAAAAUAUUUGUAUUUAUUAUACUUUUCUCGAAUUGAAUUGAUUUACAACCAAAUAAUAUUUAGUGUAUUAUAUUUAUUAUGAAUUUGGUUGUGGAAAUGAGAUGUUAUUCGUUUUUCAAGAUAUCUAGUUUCUUAAGAAGAAAUUUAAUUUUUUAAAAUUUUUGGGUGUACCUUAAUUUAAAGGUAGUCUUAAUUAUUUAAUUAUUUUAUAGGGGACAAGCUCUGUGGAAUUAUAUUCUAUAAUAUUAUUAAAAUUAAUAUAAUAGUAGGCUUUAAAUCAGCCAUCAUAUGGAUUACGUUUUAGUUCAUUAUUUUUAAUUAUGAUUUUUUAGUCAUUUUAGGUUUAAAAUUAAGAUUUUUAAUUAAAUUUUUAAAUUAUUGUGAUAAUGAUAAAAUUAGUAUAUUUUUUUGUAAUUUGUUUAUUAUUUGAGAAUUUAUUCAAAGGAACUAGGCAAAUUUAAUUCUCGCCUGUUUAACAAAAACAUGUCCUUUUGAUAAGAAUUUAAGGUCUGGCCUGCUCACUGAAAGAGUUUAAAGAGCCGCGGUAUUUUGACCGUGCAAAGGUAGCAUAAUCAUUAGUCUUUUAAUUGAAGGCUGGAAUGAAUGGCUUGACGAGGAAUUAACUGUCUCUGAAUAAACUAUUGAAUUUAACUUUUAAGUCAAAAGGCUUAAAUUUUUUUUAAGGACGAGAAGACCCUAUAGAGCUUGAUAUUUAAAUUUUAUAUAGUUUUUAGAUUAUUUUUCUAUUUAUUUUAAUUAUAUUUUGUUGGGGUGACAGGAAGAAUUAAAUAACUCUUCAUUUUUAGUUCAUUAAUUUAUGUUUUUUUGAUCCAUAAUUUAUGAUUAAAAGAUAAAGUUACCUUAGGGAUAACAGCGUAAUUAUUUUUGAGAGUUCAUAUCGACAAAGUAGAUUGCGACCUCGAUGUUGGAUUAAGAAAAAUUACGGGCGCAGUAGCUCGUAAAUUAGGUCUGUUCGACCUUUAAAUUCUUACAUGAUCUGAGUUCAGACCGGCGUGAGCCAGGUCGGUUUCUAUCCUAAAUAAAAAUACUUGAAUUAGUACGAAAGGACCAUUUAGGUGAAAUAUUUUUUAAUAUAGGAUUAAUAUUAAUUG